This 479-nucleotide ribosomal RNA is filed under the name uncultured Pseudozyma. RNAcentral's name for it is "eukaryotic LSU rRNA". The stretch from base 1 to 112 matches the Rfam family "5.8S ribosomal RNA", at positions 44 to 154 of the family's 154-position model. Lineage: Eukaryota; Fungi; Basidiomycota; Ustilaginomycetes; Ustilaginales; Ustilaginaceae. The record is from RNAcentral.
CGCAGCGAAUUGCGAUAAGUAAUGUGAAUUGCAGAAGUGAAUCAUCGAAUCUUUGAACGCACCUUGCGCUCCCUGCAGAUCUAAUCUGGGGAGCAUGCCUGUUUGAGGGCCGCGAAUUGUUUCGAACGGCAGCUUUCUUCCUUUUUUUUGCGAGAGAGUUGGCGGAUCGGUAGUGAGGGGUUGCCAGUUACCAUGGCUCCCUCGAAAUGCAUUAGCGCAUCCAUUUGAGAGGCAAGGACGGGCGAAAGCUCGCUUUUUCGCCCUCCUCUUCCUCCUGCCGGGUUUUGAUAAUAUCAGGACUUCGGAGGGGAGAAGAGGGUCUGGGUUAAGAGCUGGACGCACCGUGUUUUGCUGGUUGGAGUGCUUCUGAACCCCGCCCAUGCCCGCACACGUCGGGAAGGGAACGAUGUAGUAUAUUCUACAACAUCAAUUCCAUCGGCCUCAGAUUGGAAGGACUACCCGCUGAACUUAAGCAUAUC